This 500-nucleotide ribosomal RNA is filed under the name uncultured bacterium. RNAcentral describes it as "partial 16S ribosomal RNA". It matches the Rfam family "Bacterial small subunit ribosomal RNA", at positions 30 to 523 of the family's 1533-position model. The record is from RNAcentral.
AUUGAACGCUGGCGGAAUGCUUUACACAUGCAAGUCGAACGGCAGCACGGACUUCGGUCUGGUGGCGAGUGGCGAACGGGUGAGUAAUGUAUCGGAACGUGCCCAGUCGUGGGGGAUAACGUAGUGAAAAUUACGCUAAUACCGCAUACGAUCUAUGAAUGAAAGCGGGGGAUCGCAAGACCUCGCGCGAUUGGAGCGGCCGAUAUCAGAUUAGGUAGUUGGUGGGGUAAAGGCCCACCAGCCCAACGAUCUGUAGCGGGUCUGAGAGGACGCCCACGCAAACGGGAACUGUGACCCGGUCAAAACUCCUACGGGAGGCAGCAGUGGGAAUUUUUGGAAAAUGGGCGAAACCCUGAUCCAGCCAUUCCGCGUGCAGGAUGAGGCCCCUGGGGUUGUAAACUGCUUUUGUACAGAACGAAAAGGUUUCUACUAAUACUAGGAGCUCAUGACGGUACUGUAAGAAUAAGCACCGGCUAACUACGUGCCAGCCGCCGCGGUAA